Molecule: ribosomal RNA, 293 nt
Filed under: uncultured prokaryote
Description: partial 16S ribosomal RNA
Rfam family: Bacterial small subunit ribosomal RNA
Source: RNAcentral
GUGUCAGCAGGCCGCGGUAAUACGUAGGUGGCAAGCGUUAUCCGGAAUUAUUGGGCGUAAAGCGCGCGUAGGCGGUUUCUUAAGUCUGAUGUGAAAGCCCCCGGCUCAACCGGGGAGGGUCAUUGGAAACUGGGGAACUUGAGUGCAGAAGAGGAGAGUGGAAUUCCAUGUGUAGCGGUGAAAUGCGCAGAGAUAUGGAGGAACACCAGUGGCGAAGGCGGCUCUCUGGUCUGUAACUGACGCUGAUGUGCGAAAGCGUGGGGAUCAAACAGGAUUAGAAACCCGGGUAGUCC